GAUGAACGCUGGCGGCGUGCCUAAUACAUGCAAGUCGAGCGAACAGAUGAGGAGCUUGCUCCUCUGACGUUAGCGGCGGACGGGUGAGUAACACGUGGAUAACCUACCUAUAAGACUGGGAUAACUUCGGGAAACCGGAGCUAAUACCGGAUAAUAUAUUUAACCGCAUGGUUCAAUAGUGAAAGACGGUUUUGCUGUCACUUAUAGAUGUAUCCGCGCCGCAUUAGCUAGUUGGUAAGGUAACGGCUUACCAAGGCAACGAUGCGUAGCCGACCUGAGAGGGUGAUCGGCCAAACUGGAACUGAGACACGGUCCAGACUCCUACGGGAGGCAGCAGUAGGGAAUCUUCCGCAAUGGGCGAAAGCCUGACGGAGCAACGCCGCGUGAGUGAUGAAGGUCUUCGGAUCGUAAAACUCUGUUAUUAGGGAAGAACAAAUGUGUAAGUAACUAUGCACGUCUUGACGGUACCUAAUCAGAAAGCCACGGCUAACUACGUG
Molecule: ribosomal RNA, 497 nt
Filed under: uncultured bacterium
Lineage: Bacteria
Description: partial 16S ribosomal RNA
Rfam family: Bacterial small subunit ribosomal RNA
Source: RNAcentral